RNAcentral lists this non-coding RNA (24 nucleotides) under Arabidopsis thaliana (thale cress). The record is from RNAcentral. Lineage: Eukaryota; Viridiplantae; Streptophyta; Magnoliopsida; Brassicales; Brassicaceae.
UGCCGUUAAAUUUCCGUUAACAGA